GAGAAAUAGUCUUGAGAAGAAACCAACAUGUAAAGGAGCUGACACUUGGAUCCUGUGCAUGUCUCUCAUCUACACCAGAGACACUAGAGAAUUUCCACUUGCAGGAGAUCUGGCUAGAUGCCAUACAUUAGGUGAUUUUGCACUCAUUUACCAUUCAGGACACUUCAGACUCUGUGUGGAAUUUUUGAUGCUGAGUAGAUCGGAAGCAGUAUCUGAGCCAGUGGGGUGCAAUUCCAGAAAGGGAAAAGAAAAGAAAAUGAACAAGCCUGGAUCCACACCCAGACCAUCAAGACAAAAGCAGCAGACAGAUACAGCAGAGGACCCUCGGGAACAAUGGAGUAUGGAGAACAUAAAUGACCACCCUGAGGACCCAAGUCUCGAAGUCCAUGACUUGGGGACAAGCCAAAAGAACAGUUCAUAUGGCAGAACAAUCCCUAGAGGUGGGCAAUCUGAUCAAUCUUAACUAAGCCAUUUCUCAAAAAAAGAUUUACCCAAUUUUAUGUUAAGAAGUGGCUGCCUCACCCUUUAUUUUGACCCCAGCCCAACUAUUCCAAGGAGCCCUAUCCAUCGCAACUGUAACUGAUCAGAUCUUUCUCCUUCCACAACCUCUUUUCUUGUCAUUCUUCCAGUACUUACUCCCAGUUCCUGGUAGUCAGACCCAAACUCCACUUCCUCAGAGAGUAAAAAAAUGAUUUAUUUGCAAGCAUUUAUUUACUUCAGCUUCGUUUGUUUCAUUUGAGUAAAAAAAAAAAAAGGAGCAGAUCUGGGGACUGCCUGAUAGGAGGUAAAAAGCCUGAGACUCCAAUGAAGCAAAGCUCUGGAGAUAGGGAAGGCAAAAGCCUGAACCCCUCUUGAGCCACAUGACAGCUAAAGUUUAGCACAUAUCUCACCUUUUCUCCCUGAGGCAUGUGGCCUCAAGCUCUCCCCCCUCUCUGUACCCAAUGUACCCACAAAAUCACUGAUGUACGCCUUUUUCCUUGGGAAUCAACCUAAGUUGUUACAUGUUGAUUUAUGAUCUAUAGAAAUCACUGUGUAGACUUGAUGAGGUAAACUAGAUUACAUUUUACCACUUUCCCAAUUAUUUACCUUCAUUGUGUAAGUGGAAACAUACAAAAUCUCCAGCUUGCUUUCUCCCCAUCUAAAAGUAGAUGUAACUUUCAAUAAAGUGCUUCUAGUUGCUAUCA
Molecule: long non-coding RNA, 1184 nt
Filed under: Monodelphis domestica (gray short-tailed opossum)
Lineage: Eukaryota; Metazoa; Chordata; Mammalia; Didelphimorphia; Didelphidae
Description: lncRNA (ENSMODG00000030008.2)
Source: RNAcentral